AUGGAGCCUUGAGAAUAUCACGGUAAGAAUUUAAGCUUUAGUUUUCUUUGCAAUAUUUUCUCAGUACUGGUGUUUGAUGUGGGUUGUUUUUUUUUAAUGUUUGAGAGAGAAAGAGUGCAAGUGGGGGAGGGACAGAGAGGGAGAGACACACACAGAGUCCAAAGUGGGCACCAGGUCUUACCUGUCACCACAGAGCCCCAUGGGAGGGUAGAACCCACGAAGAGUGAGAUCAUGCAUGACCUGAGCCAAAGUCAGACACUCAACCAACUGAGCCACCUAGGCGCCCCUUGAUGUGCGUUUUGAUUCACCUAAGGAUAAAUAUGGGGACUUCUGAUGUCUAAUUGACUUUUUAACUCUUGAAAUUCAUCUUUCUCUUCCCUGUUUGGAGCCUAAGUGACAAUGUGGAGGGAGUUGCCAUCUCUUAAGACAUCAGGAGGAGGAACACAUCACCAGAGUAGAGGGAAUGAAAUUAGUGUAAUUUUACAUAGAAAUGAUUAGGAAACAAGUGAUGAUAUGAGCCUGAGGUUUGGAGUGAGUACUUUGCCAUGACCUGGCUCUUCGUGAAAUGUGAAGAUGAGAAAACUCUCUAUCUACAAGCCCAUCAAGAAGCCUGAGCUUAGAGACAAAGCCAGAUAUUGCCAGGCAGGGUGUGUGUCACAAGAGAGGUUUAAACCAUGGUUCUGAGUCUGAGGUGGAGGAAGCCGUUCAUGCCAGGGGAGAAUGAGUGGAGAUGAGAUUUUUGCAAAUGCGGGUAAUGUAUUCUGCACAGGCUCCAUAGACUGUGGUGAUCCUGUGGCGCUGUCUGUUGAGAGCCAGGGUGGCUGCCUGACACUUAACGAGCCCUCAAAGGCUGGUUGUUCAUCCCUUUGAAUGCAGUGGCGGUGGUGGGGAGAAGAGUGAUCUCAGGACAUGAGAGCUCUCACACUGGGCCAACAAAAGAGAAGUUUGCACUUUCUGGUCAGAUGACAGAAUCAGUCCCUGUUAGAGGAGUCUGUUCUAGAGCUUACAUGUGUUGCCUGUAAUUGGGUCCUUCGUGUGUGUUGAAUAAUAUUCCUUUAAGGUUGGAGGCUAACAUUCUCACGUUGGGAUGAAAAAAGUUUGUCUUCUAGGAAUUGCCAUUAAUCCACAUCCUCCAGCCACUAAGUGUAAAGCUGAGAUGGUACCCGUAUGUUUGAUUCCAAAGACCUUGUCCUCCAGGGCCCCCGGCCUAGGGUUCACGAAGGGCAACCUGUGAGCAGCAGGAAGUCAUCCAAGGCCUUCGAGUAGUCAGUCAGUCAGCAGCAGUUUGAGCUUUCCUUGUGUGGAAUUCCAAAUAGCACCUGGGAGUGUGAGUGGCUCAAAUCGAGACUAAAGGAUGGUUUUGUUUGUUCCAUUAUUUGCAGGGACCUAUUUAUGUACCUUAAUAAUUGGAGGAGAGAAAUGUAAGUUGAUAGGAUUUGAUUUUUGUUUCAUCUCUGGUGGUGACAUAAGUAUUUGAAGUGAUUGGAUUUUCUAAGAAGGGUGCUUCCAGAUGGGAGAGAAAUGAGAAGAUAUUUUAUUGUGUUUCUCCAUUUUGGACAAUAUUUUAAAUAGGAAUCUCAUUGAAAUAAGGUUUUCUUAGGUUUAACAUGCUGCUAAAACUUGAUUUCUUCAGGCACAACGGGAAAGCUAAAAUGUUAGUUACACCCACCUGUCAGAUCAUGUGUGCUGCUAAUACACUGGGAUUAUUUGAGGUCACUGGUUUGGUAACAGCCUUAGAACAUGUUUUGUCUCCUUUUAGUUAGUUUACAGUGAAUAAUUGAGAAGAUCAAUACUUUUAAGAAAGAAAACAGAGAACUUCAUUGCUGAAAAAAUAUCCAUUUGGGAACAGAAG
Molecule: long non-coding RNA, 1852 nt
Organism: Felis catus (domestic cat)
Lineage: Eukaryota; Metazoa; Chordata; Mammalia; Carnivora; Felidae
Exons: 2
Source: RefSeq, a predicted model, not a curated record